GAAAAAACUAGUCGCACGUGCCGGCACGGAUUCUGUAGCUGCCUGUUCGACUUCGCGGAUCACAGAAAUAUACGAGAAUGAAGGACACGGUCGGUCCGUGCAGGGCGAUCGUGGAGAGUAACAGCGACGCACAAUCAGUUUCUGAUAUUGCAAAAACGAGUGAAAAAGCAACCUGCUCCAGGCCCACACUACAACCUGCAGCUACAGCGAGCCGUCACGUUCACGCAGCUUUUCACCAGGAUGGGAUUCCCAACUAUGCUGGUACGAAAGAAUCAUGCUUUGGGUGCUACGACAAGGAACCAUACCUCAGCACUUCGCCAUCGUCGCGGAUGGUAACCGGCGUUUUUCUCGGAAAAAGAAAAUAUCCCUGAGCCAAGUCUACUCUCUUAUGUUUAGGAAGUUCACUACGACUUGGCCCUACAUGGCAGCUCUCGGUGUUCCCGAGGUCACCUAAUUCAUGAUCAGCACUCGUAACUUCAGCCGCAAUACCAGGGACCUCGUUACUGCCAUUGAUGAGAUGAUGAAAUUCUUCGCCAGAACCCUUCAGUGCCUGAACACAUUAAGAAAAAUACGCUUGAAGGUCACUGCAAUGGGCAACCUUGAUCUACUGCCCAUUGAGAUGCGGGAGAAAAUAGCAAGGUUUCAAAUCGGCAGCGAUGACGAAAGCCCAGCAGCAAAGCUUAGGCUCUGCGUAGCGUAUAACACCAAGGUCGGAUUGAAGAACAUGGUGCUGGACUUAGUGAAGGCCGUUCAAGCGGGAGCCAUUGAAUCAGACGACAUAACUGCAGGUUUCUUGGCGUAGUGGCUCGCUGUCAGUGAGGCUCCUGAAACUGAGCUGUGGUUUCGCAGCAGCGGCGAAAUGCGUUUCAGUGAAUUCUUGGUGCUGCAGAGCGGCUACUCGUAUAUUCACAUCGACCCACAGUUGUGGCCCGCCAUCACAUCCUGGAACUGGAUUUGGGCAGUUCUGCAAUUUCAACCUAAAUGGCCGUACAUCAAGGCCAUUACGGACAGUCAUCGCGAUUUGUGGGCAUCUCCCCAAGACCGGAAUGGCUGCGCGAGUAUUAUUCGUCAGAAGUCUUUCUUGAGGCGCAUCAAAUCUGCAAAGAUGGCGUAUCUAAGCAGCCAGUGCUUCAGCGAAAUUAAUCAACCGACGAACGCAUCCUUGCUAUUCUCCGGGAACCAUCUUACUGAAUGAGGCAGUAAACAUUCUUUCACUACUUUCUUUGGCAUGAACACAUCUUUUCUGAAAAGCUCAGUGUUGUAAGGAUAGUGUGAAGAAUAAAUUAACCAUUUUCGGUGUACCUCCCAUACGAAUGACUCGCAAUUAAAAUAAAAUUGACACACGUGUCUAUAGAAGUAGUUCCAAUCUCAUGCCUGAUAUGAAGCUUUCACAGAGCUCAUGGUAGUUGGGUUGGCAAGACAGCCUUGCAAAUUGAUGCAUCGAAAUUGAGGGUCAUGGCUGAGAAUUCUGAUUAGGCUCUAGAGGGUUGCCGGAAGGCCUGCAAGCCUUAACGGGAGGUGCCUAUAUGAGUUAGUGCAAAGGUACAUUUAAUGAUCACAUGCAGCGAGAGCCAAAUAUAUGAAUGGCAAUUGCAGACACUGACAUAGGGUCAUGCAGCUGAUUGUUUAUCUUCUUGACCCUAUUAUGCGGAACAGCCCAUCAAAUGUAUGCGUAAAGAUGCAAGAAGCUUUCAGUUCCCGGUUCAUGCCCUUGCAGUUCCAAUUCUAAAUGUGGAACGCUGGGCUUUCGUUCUUCGCUUUUGGAACAGUUCAUUACUUUUUGUAUGCUUACGGAUAGUUUUUCAUUAUCUAAGAAUUUGAACAGCGGAGCUGCUUAGGUUCACCGUAAUUUCGCAAUUCGAGCACCACAAGAUGAGUGUGUCCUGACUUUUGGUUUCGUUGGCGUGACAUCACUGAAGUGGUUAAGGACAUACCUUUUUUUCAAAUGGAGCAGAACGAAGAUAGAAAAAACGAAACAGUGCAAAAAAUGAGACACUAGUCGAAGGAGCACACAUACAGAGCGCUGACUUACACAUACAGAGCUGCUCAUGCUUUGAUAA
Long non-coding RNA from Rhipicephalus microplus (southern cattle tick), 2060 nucleotides. NCBI's taxonomy places the organism in Eukaryota, Metazoa, Arthropoda, Arachnida, Ixodida, Ixodidae. The record is from RefSeq and is a predicted model, not a curated record.